CCUACGGGAGGCAGCAGUGGGGAAUAUUGCGCAAUGGGCGAAAGCCUGACGCAUCGACGCCGCUUGAUUUAUUAAUUUCUUCUUCUCUUACCCCUCUUUCAUCAUUUAAUAACUUUCACUUUGCUAAUCAUCAGUUAAUUUACUUUACCUUCAAAUUAAUCACCUUCUAACUCCUUUCCAUCAUCCUCUUUAAUACUUAUUUUUCUAGCUUUAAUAGGAAUUACUGGUCGUAAAGCGCUCGUAGGCGGUAUGUCAAGUCAAGGGUGAAAUCCCAGCGCGCAAAGUGGGAACGGCCUUUGAAACUGGAAAAAUGGAGAGUGUGAGAGGAGAGUGGAAGGCAAGGGGUAGGAGUGAAAGAAGGAGAGAUAGGGAGGAAAAUAAGUGGCGAAGGCGACGAGAGAGCACAGAAAGGAAGCGGAGGAGCGAAAGAGGGGGGAGAAAAAAGGAUUAGAUAAAAGAGUAGGC
This 465-nucleotide ribosomal RNA is filed under the name uncultured bacterium. RNAcentral's name for it is "partial 16S ribosomal RNA". It matches the Rfam family "Bacterial small subunit ribosomal RNA", at positions 338 to 795 of the family's 1533-position model. The record is from RNAcentral.